UCAUAUGAGACGUCCGAACCUGUUUAUAUUACACGAGACACCUGAUGGACUAAACUCCGCUAUUUCUGACUUCAUUGCUGGAGCUAGAGAAACUGAAAUACUCACACUUCACUUGUGGCCACUUCUGCGCUACCAAAGGCUCUCCACAACAGAAACAUUACUGCUGAUGUAAAUGUUCCCGCUUCAGUGCCUCUGGCUGUGUCAUUCACAUGCGUAAGAAAAUUCAAACCAUCGAAUGUCACUCAAGUUUAUUUGGAAGAGAAGACUAAUGUCAGAUAGCAGAAGGUAACAGCAUUUAGAAGAUUCUUGGACCCAACAUUGCUGUGAAGAUGAGCCAUCUGUGAUACAGAUAUCUUAAUUUAAAGAUAGGACAUUAUUUUACGGAAUUUUAUUUGUUUAAUUCUGGUCAGUCACUCUAACAAUUACAAAG
This is a long non-coding RNA of Cryptotermes secundus, 430 nucleotides long. RefSeq lists it as uncharacterized. Lineage: Eukaryota; Metazoa; Arthropoda; Insecta; Blattodea; Kalotermitidae. The transcript has 3 exons. The record is from RefSeq and is a predicted model, not a curated record.